RNAcentral lists this ribosomal RNA (267 nucleotides) under uncultured Actinomycetes bacterium. Its description in RNAcentral is "uncultured actinobacterium partial 16S rRNA". It matches the Rfam family "Bacterial small subunit ribosomal RNA", at positions 729 to 993 of the family's 1533-position model. The record is from RNAcentral. Lineage: Bacteria; Bacillati; Actinomycetota; Actinomycetes.
CUGGGCCGUAACUGACGCUGAGAAGCGAAAGCAUGGGGAGCGAACAGGAUUAGAUACCCUGGUAGUCCAUGCCGUAAACGUUGGGCGCUAGGUGUGGGGCUCAUUCCACGAGCUCUGUGCCGCAGCUAACGCAUUAAGCGCCCCGCCUGGGGAGUACGGCCGCAAGGCUAAAACUCAAAGGAAUUGACGGGGGCCCGCACAAGCGGCGGAGCAUGCGGAUUAAUUCGAUGCAACGCGAAGAACCUUACCAAGGCUUGACAGUACCGG